Rosa chinensis is the source of this 356-nucleotide long non-coding RNA. RefSeq lists it as uncharacterized. Lineage: Eukaryota; Viridiplantae; Streptophyta; Magnoliopsida; Rosales; Rosaceae. The record is from RefSeq and is a predicted model, not a curated record. The transcript has 4 exons.
GUGGUCUCAAGGGAGAGGAUUCAAAUUUCUUGGAGGAUGAAACACAAAGAUAUUUGCACGUAAAGUGGCCGAUCAUUAUAGUGCAAGGACAAAUCAAACUCUGGAAGAACGAGAAGCUAGUCCGAUCAUCCAUUUAAAAAAGCUUAACAACUGGAUUAAGAGUGUACUAAUUCAGCUCUAUGCUCGCCGAGGAGAUGCUGUUCUUGAUCUUGCAUGCGGAAAGGGAGGUGAUCUCAUCAAAUGGGACAAGGCCAAAAUUGGGUACUAUGUUGGCAUUGAUAUUGCUGAAGGCUCUGUAAGUGCUGAAAUCUUAUUUUAAAUUAUAAUUAACUCUUUGGUUGACAUUUUUAUUUUAU